This 466-nucleotide ribosomal RNA is filed under the name uncultured bacterium. Its description in RNAcentral is "partial 16S ribosomal RNA". It matches the Rfam family "Bacterial small subunit ribosomal RNA", at positions 29 to 506 of the family's 1533-position model. The record is from RNAcentral.
ACGAACGCUGGCGGCGUGCUUCACACAUGCAAGUCGCACGGAAAGGCCCUGCUUUUGUGGGGUGCUCGAGUGGCGAACGGGUGAGUAGCACGUGAGUAACCUGCCCUUGACUUUGGGAUAACUUCAGGAAACUGGGGCUAAUACCGGAUAGGAGCUCCUGCUGCAUGGUGGGGGUUGGAAAGUUUCGGCGGUUGGGGAUGGACUCGCGGCUUAUCAGCUUGUUGGUGGGGUAGUGGCUUACCAAGGCUUUGACGGGUAGCCGGCCUGAGAGGGUGACCGGCCACAUUGGGACUGAGAUACGGCCCAGACUCCUACGGGAGGCAGCAGUGGGGAAUAUUGCACAAUGGGCGGAAGCCUGAUGCAGCAACGCCGCGUGCGGGAUGACGGCCUUCGGGUUGUAAACCGCUUUCGCCUGUGACGAAGCGUGAGUGACGGUAAUGGGUAAAGAAGCACCGGCUAACUACGU